RNAcentral lists this ribosomal RNA (143 nucleotides) under uncultured Pseudomonadota bacterium. RNAcentral's name for it is "uncultured proteobacterium partial 16S ribosomal RNA". It matches the Rfam family "Bacterial small subunit ribosomal RNA", at positions 354 to 497 of the family's 1533-position model. The record is from RNAcentral. Lineage: Bacteria; Pseudomonadati; Pseudomonadota.
GUGGGGAAUUUUGGACAAUGGGGGCAAGCCUGAUCCAGCCAUUCCGCGUGAGUGAAGAAGGCCUUCGGGUUGUAAAGCUCUUUCAGCAGGAAAGAAAUGGUGCAGGUUAAUAGAAGCAUGAUGACGUACUCUAGCGCGCCGCC